AGCCGCAUGUUUGACCUAUUUUGC
This 24-nucleotide non-coding RNA is filed under the name Arabidopsis thaliana (thale cress). Lineage: Eukaryota; Viridiplantae; Streptophyta; Magnoliopsida; Brassicales; Brassicaceae. The record is from RNAcentral.